This 497-nucleotide ribosomal RNA is filed under the name uncultured bacterium. Its description in RNAcentral is "partial 16S ribosomal RNA". It matches the Rfam family "Bacterial small subunit ribosomal RNA", at positions 28 to 507 of the family's 1533-position model. The record is from RNAcentral.
GAUGAACGCUGGCGGCGUGCCUAAUACAUGCAAGUCGAGCGAACAGAUGAGGAGCUUGCUCCUCUGACGUUAGCGGCGGACGGGUGAGUAACACGUGGAUAACCUACCUAUAAGACUGGGAUAACUUCGGGAAACCGGAGCUAAUACCGGAUAAUAUAUUGAACCGCAUGGUUCAAUAGUGAAAGACGGUUUUGCUGUCACUUAUAGAUGGAUCCGCGCCGCAUUAGGUAGUUGGUAAGGUAACGGCUUACCAAGGCAACGAUGCGUAGCCGACCUGAGAGGGUGAUCGGCCACACUGGAACUGAGACACGGUCCAGACUCCUACGGGAGGCAGCAGUAGGGAAUCUUCCGCAAUGGGCGCAAGCUUGACGGAGCAACGCCGCGUGAGUGAUGAAGGUCUUCGGAUCGUAAAACUCUGUUAUUAGGAAAGAACAAAUGUGUAAGUAACUAUGCACGUCUUGACGGUACCUAAUCAGAAAGCCACGGCUAACUACGUG